This 2742-nucleotide long non-coding RNA is filed under the name Mus musculus (house mouse). RNAcentral's name for it is "long non-coding RNA chr5:143395502-143398244". The stretch from base 1087 to 1159 matches the Rfam family "tRNA". Lineage: Eukaryota; Metazoa; Chordata; Mammalia; Rodentia; Muridae. The record is from RNAcentral.
AGAAAGAAGUCACAGUUUAUUCAGAAGGCAGAGGCAGGGGGACAGAAAUUUCAAGGCCUACCUAAGUAACUUACUGAGACUCUAUCUUUAAACUAAAAGCUAAACAGGAGGAGAGAGAAGCUAGAGACGGAAAGCAAAGUGCUUAACUAGAAUGAUGGGGCCCUAAUGUCCACUCACAAGGACUACAAAAAAAUUUGUUUUUAAAUAAAAUAAAAUCUCUGUGAGAUCCACAGAUUACAGUCUCCACCAGGCAAGAUCUCCUGGUCCAGCAUUCAUCUGACAUUAUAGGUACGUGCCCCUUGCCCAAAGUCAGCCACUAGAUGGCAGUAUGACAUGCCAAGCACUCGGGAAGAUUCCUUAACAUGCCCUGUAUCUGUUAGCAAUUUGCUAUAGCAGUGCUGUGUAACAAACUGAACCUUGUUUCCCCUGACAUUUCUGAGGAUUGAGCCCAAGGAGUUGGACAUGUUAGGCAGGUGCUCUGCUGCUGAGCUAUGAUGCCCUGCCUUCAAGCCCCUUGCUAAGGGAUUCUAUUUGGGAAAAAGAUGCUUUUCUUUCUUUCUUUCUUUGGUAGCAUCUGCUCUGGGGGCACAUGGAGGGCCAAGAGAAGUUUGAGGAGAUCAGUUCCCUCUUUCACCAUGGGUGUUCUGGGAGCGGAACUGGCACCGUGGAUUCUUGGCAAGCACUCUGUUGCUAGGCCAAGCCCCAGCCCCUUAUUGGUGGAUUCUAGACAAGUGCUCCACACUGACCUGUCUCUAGUCUCUUUCAAAUUUGGAGACAGAGUCUUGCUCAGUUACCCAGGCUGGCCUUGAAUUCAUUCAUUCUAGCCCAUACAGGCCUAGAGCCUGGGAUCCUCCUGCCUCAGCCCCACAGCAGUUGGGAUGAAAGACUUUAACUCUGCAGUCGAUGUGAGCAGGUAAGUGGCUUGGUGGAUUUUACAGGGUUCUUCCCCACCCUCGGAGUUUUGAUAGGGAAGGCAGUGACAGCCUCAGGUGGUGGCUCAUCCUGUGGUCAAAUGCUGGGAUCAUUUUCACAAGUGAGGUGAGAGCCCAAGCAAACAAAUAAGCAAGAGCACAGAAAGUCAGAGCUGGGGAUAUAGCUCAGUGGGUAGAGUGCUUGCCUAGCAUGCUUGAAGCCCUGGGUUCAAUUCCUUGCAUUGCAUAGAUGGGGUGUGGUGGUGCAUGCCUGUAAUCCCAGCACAAGGUGGUGGAGGCAGGAGGAUCAGGUCAAGGUCACUGGGGUCAGACUGAGCUACACGACUCCUUAUUUCAAUCAAUCAAUCAAUCAAUCAAUCAGUCAGUCAAUCAUUACACACGAGUUUCUGGAGGUUGAUGAAGGCUUUGAUCUCUUUGAUCAUCUUGCUUAUUUUGCUUUAUAUUGUGAAACCGAGUAGCCCAGCCAGCCAGGCAGAGCUGCAACACCCACACUGCACAGAACGCGAGCUGCGGGAUGUGGUGCAGGCAGCAGUGUUAAAGUCAUUCUUGGCUACAUAAUGAGUUUGAGGCUAGCCUAGGCUACAUAUGAGACCCUUUCUCAACACAACAAAGCUGGUGAUGUGACUCAGUGGGUAAAGGCACUUGCUGCUAAGCCUGAGUUUGAUCCCUGGGCCCGUGGUACACAUGGUAGAAGAAAGACAACUGACUCCUGAAACUUGUCCUCUGACCUUUACACGAACACCACAGCACACCAGUGCACACAUGCACACAUACACACCCGUGCGUGCACACACACAAAUAAAUACGCUAAUGAAUUAUUGAAAGGUGUUUAUAGAAACAAUGACAAAAUUCUAUAUGGUCCCCAUCCUGCCUGGAUCCAGCAUUGGUCCAGAAUGUCACCGGAUGACUUCCGGGUGGCAUGUCUCUCUUAUCUGUUCACCUGUGAGUUGUCUCUCUUGCAGCAGACAGCAGUGAGCUGUGCCUGCCUAGCAACUGCUCACUCUUCUGUUUGAAAAAGCCCGCUGUAUUCUUUAGAAUAUUAUCCCUCCCCUACUCCCAGGCCAUAGAGCUGAGUGGGUACAGAAGUCUCACAUCUGGCUGGGUGGCUCAGAGACAGACAGCUCAUGACUCAAGUCUAGACAGUUUGCUAGGGGAAGUUUCCUUUUUUUCUGGCUGCGGUGUAUGAACAAAGCAGGGAGAACCUGCGGGGAGUGUCUCAGUGUCCGGCCAAAAGAUAAGAGAAACUUGCUAUGUGUAUCUCUUUGUCCCUGGAUACAACCAGGCCUGAAGAACACAUCUGGGUUUAACAGAUUCAAAGGCACCACGUUCCCCUUCUACUAUAAAAAUGCCAAUGCCUUGACCUAGGCUGGCUCUGGACAGACGCUCGGUGUUUCUAACAUGCUCUCUGCAUAAAUGUAUCUGCCAAUACUUUUGACAGGUGCCACAUACAAUGUUGGGUAGAGACACCGCAUGUGUCAGUAUCUCUGAGUUUUCAUUCCCCAUGUCUUAUGAAGGUUCUGCCCCAGAACCAGUGUGAGAUGCUGUGUGUGACAGUAUGUGUCCCCUCCCCAUUCCUCCCCCAAAUGACGAAGGGUGGCCGCAGCCCCGUGAGCUCCAGGAAUUGACCUACUCCUCACCAAUAACAGUGACAUCAUCGUUUAGCCCCAUUCGGCUUUUCCCCAUAGUGACACCAGGUGACGUUUACUAAGUAGCGCGCUUCAUGUGUUUACAGAUUUCAUUUUGUUUUCUUUUCACAACCCUCUGGGGUGGAUUUUGUGAUCUCCUUUUUACAAAUAAAAGUCUGAAACUC